CUGGUACGGAACUUGUAACUUUUUUUAUGCCAAAAAUAUGUAAAAACGGCACUUGAAUUUGGAAGAUGUUCUCCCCAUUAUCAACGACCGGGAAGUCACCAUUAAAGAUCUUGCAUGAAGGUAAGAAGAUUUCUUUUCAAUCCAAUCGCAUCAUCUCUGUUGA
Daphnia pulex (common water flea) is the source of this 163-nucleotide long non-coding RNA. RefSeq lists it as uncharacterized. The transcript is spliced from 2 exons. The record is from RefSeq and is a predicted model, not a curated record. Lineage: Eukaryota; Metazoa; Arthropoda; Branchiopoda; Diplostraca; Daphniidae.